Non-coding RNA from Podarcis lilfordi (Lilford's wall lizard), 69 nucleotides. The record is from the annotation of a GenBank genome assembly. Lineage: Eukaryota; Metazoa; Chordata; Lepidosauria; Squamata; Lacertidae.
GCUGUAGCUCAGUUGUAGAGCAUCUGUCCUGCAUGCAGAAGGUCCCAGGUUCAGUCCCCAGCAUCUCCA